AUGAGGGCUUAUUAUCAAAGAUACGAGGAUAUAAAAGAAACAUCACAACUAAUUAUUAGUACAUUUAUAAAACAUUUAAUACUAUUGCUGUAUCAUUUUCGUCGUAACGAACAUAAAUGCAUUCUCGACAUUAAGUGUGACCAUUAACAACAAAAUAAAGUAAAACUAGCGUUUCAUACGAGGAAAUAAAAUGUUCCUCUCGAACUGUGAUACAUAAGGCAUUUUAGCAUUAAAAGAAAGCUAUAAGACUUAAAUAAGACGUACCGAGAUACAAACUGAAUAUUUAUUACAACGAAUAAUGAUGUAGUGACAAUGGGGGUAUUACUGCAAUGUUCUGCCAUAUAGUAAACCAUAGAGUAACUUAUACAUACUGUGCCUUAAACUGUUUUUUGACAAGUUUUCACAGACAAUAAAUGACAUUGAUGCAUCAAGGCGGUUUGUUAACGUGGGCCUACCGGGAAAAGCGAAAAUUUUAAUUUAGUUUUCUGCCUCUUUAUCGCUCGAAUAAGCAAGAGAGGUUAGAUAACGAAAUUUCGAUUUUCUUGUUUCGCGGUAGACCCCCAGAUUGUGACGGAUAGUGGUAGUGGCGCCUCCUACGCAGAGUUACGCGUAAUAUUCCCUAUUUAAUUAGGUCUAAAUACAUUUAGUCUACGAGUAUUUCCUGUCUUUGCCAACCAUCAAACUUGAAUCAUUUUAAAAGAAGACAAAAAAGUAUUUUCACCCAACACUACAAAUUCUAAUAUUCGAAAUGUUUUGACAGACGACUUAGCGAGUAAGUAAUAAAUAUCCACCUUAGGGUGGUAUUCCACCCGUCCAAUUUCUUUGUCCAAUGUGUCUCACUCUCUCAGUAAGCAAAAUGUGAACCAAAAUAAAAAUUGAACAAAGAAAUUGGAUAGAUGGAAUACCACCCAUAGAUACUCUCACCGUAGGACUGGUUAUGUUGCCAGUGUCAAAAAUGGAACUUUAUGGACUGCCAUAUUAAUAGUUGUUGGAUGAGUGAUAUGAAAUGACGAAGGGCCUCCUGCCCUCCCACACCGGCAAUACAACUAGCACUCCUUAAUAACACUUUAGAGCACACGGCGACUUACAGCAAACCAUUAAGUAGCUCGUUUUGAAAACGCUCUAUUGCUUUUUUUUACCAGU
Long non-coding RNA from Cydia splendana, 1143 nucleotides. RefSeq lists it as uncharacterized. The transcript has 2 exons. Lineage: Eukaryota; Metazoa; Arthropoda; Insecta; Lepidoptera; Tortricidae. The record is from RefSeq and is a predicted model, not a curated record.